Homo sapiens (human) is the source of this 669-nucleotide long non-coding RNA. RefSeq lists it as uncharacterized. The record is from RefSeq and is a predicted model, not a curated record. Lineage: Eukaryota; Metazoa; Chordata; Mammalia; Primates; Hominidae. The transcript has 5 exons.
AAAUGAUUAUUAUUCUUCAAGAAGAAAUCCACUAACAGCAUCCUUUUCAGAAUGAAGAUCUGAAAAGGAAGAGAUUAUCUCCUCUUUAAUGCUGUAUCCCAAAGCCUAGAAGAACCAGAGACUUACUAGCUAAUCAAUAAAUAUUGCUGAGUAAAUAAAUGACAGACAUUUGCAUGCAGGCCUCAAGGAGCAGCUGAAGUGAUAGAGGUAGAAUGAGGCAAUAAAUUAUUAGCAAAGAGAGCGGAGUAUUUACAGGCAGCGAUAUACUAAUGAACCUAAAAAUUUGGAGAAUAUUUGGAAAAAUAAAAGAGCUUGCAUCCCUGGAAUGCAACGAAAAGAAAAGUGCUCAAAAAGUGAUAAUAUACACAGUGUCAAUUUGUUCACUGCUUUUUUGGAAUGUUUGAAAUUUAUUACAUCAUGGAUUGAACUUAGACUCCGGAGAACAUUUCUGAAGUCCUCUGAGUAAGCUUCUUGAAGCACCCUUCACUAGACUAGAGGAUGAUGAAUGAUUCAAAGUAUAACUAAUUGAGAAAAAUAUGUCAAAGAGGGACCAACAAGAAAAGCCAAACAUACAUCCCUAAUCAAUCGCACAGAAUGCCUGCUUCUCAUUAACCCGCCUAGACCUCCCCAUGCCCACCGCCUCCAAUGAGGUAAUACUUGAAGCCUUGC